This 314-nucleotide ribosomal RNA is filed under the name uncultured fungus. RNAcentral's name for it is "eukaryotic LSU rRNA". The stretch from base 1 to 71 matches the Rfam family "5.8S ribosomal RNA", at positions 84 to 154 of the family's 154-position model. Lineage: Eukaryota; Fungi. The record is from RNAcentral.
GUGAGUCAUCGAGUCUUUGAACGCACAUUGCGCCCUCUGGUAUUCCGGAGGGCAUGCCUGUUUGAGUGUCAUUAACUUCUCACAAAACCUUCUGGUUUCUGUUGAUGUUGGGAGUUGCGUUUCCUUGUGAGACGCUCUCCUCAAAUGCAUUGGUGCGGCCUGCCGCCCGGUUACACAACGUUCUAGGUUCGUCCAACUCGUUGCUAAAUCGGUGCACCAUUUGGUGCUGCACCUAAAGCCCGCCUUGUGCCUUGUGCUCUUGGCUUAUCUUAUUUAUUGACCUCAGAUCAGGUAGGAAUACGCGCUGAACUUAA